Anguilla rostrata (American eel) is the source of this 390-nucleotide long non-coding RNA. RefSeq lists it as uncharacterized. The record is from RefSeq and is a predicted model, not a curated record. NCBI's taxonomy places the organism in Eukaryota, Metazoa, Chordata, Actinopteri, Anguilliformes, Anguillidae. The transcript is spliced from 3 exons.
GCGCCUUUCCCUUCGCGGAAUGCUAGAAAAGCAGACAGUACGAAGUCCAGUUUUAUGACGUUGCAGCUGGAUAAGGAAACGAGCAAAGCAGCGUUGAGGAGGAGACAAAAAAAGUAGAGUAGUGUUGAGUUUGAAGAUAUAUGGUUGAUAUCUAGAAGUCUCAAGCCAUAAACACUAUGGAUCCACCCACAGACCAGCAGGCAUCCACUUUCAGUAUCAACUCCCUUAAGCUUUGAAUUUACUCCUUGGUCUGAACAGCAAGUCAACACCACGGUCCUACCUUGAAGGGUCUUCUGCCAAGGAGAAGGCUCCACCGAUGCUGACUACAUUCCUUCUAUUCUCAUACCCACCAUAGCUGAGGGUCACCUGGGGAACAGAGGCAAUUAUCAC